Molecule: ribosomal RNA, 485 nt
Filed under: uncultured bacterium
Lineage: Bacteria
Description: bacterial SSU rRNA
Rfam family: Bacterial small subunit ribosomal RNA
Source: RNAcentral
CAGUGAGGAAUAUUGGUCAAUGGACGAGAGUCUGAACCAGCCAAGUAGCGUGAAGGAUGACUGCCCUAUGGGUUGUAAACUUCUUUUAUAUGGGAAUAAAAUGUUCCACGUGUGGGAUUUUGUAUGUACCAUAUGAAUAAGGAUCGGCUAACUCCGUGCCAGCAGCCGCGGUAAUACGGAGGAUCCGAGCGUUAUCCGGAUUUAUUGGGUUUAAAGGGAGCGUAGGUGGAUUGUUAAGUCAGUUGUGAAAGUUUGCGGCUCAACCGUAAAAUUGCAGUUGAAACUGGCAGUCUUGAGUACAGUAGAGGUGGGCGGAAUUCGUGGUGUAGCGGUGAAAUGCUUAGAUAUCACGAAGAACUCCGAUUGCGAAGGCAGCUCACUGGACUGCAACUGACACUGAGGCUCGAAAGUGUGGGUAUCAAACAGGAUUAGAUACCCUGGUAGUCCACACAGUAAACGAUGAAUACUCGCUGUUUGCGAUAUAC